GACGAACGCUGGCGGCGUGCUUAACACAUGCAAGUCGAACGGAAAGGCCCUGCUUUUGUGGGGUGCUCGAGUGGCGAACGGGGGAGUAACAUGUGAGUAACCUGCGCUUGACUUUGGGAUAACGUCAGGAAACUCGGGCUAAUACCGGAUAGGAGCGCCUGCUGCACGGUGGGGGUUGGAAAGUUCCGGCGGUUGGGGAUGGACUCGCGGCUCAUCAGCUUGUUGGUGGGGUAGUGGCAUACCAAGGCUUGGACGGGUAGGCGGCCUGAGUGGGGAGCCGGCCACAUUAGGACGGAGAUACGGCCCAGACUCCAACGGGAGGCAGCAGAGGAGAAGAGUGCACAAUGGGAGGGAGACAAGUGCGGCAACGCCGCGUGCGGGAUGACGGCCUUCGGGCUGUAACCCGCUUUCGCCUGGGACGAAGCGUGAGUGACGGUAAUGGGUAAAGAAGCACCGGCUAACUACGUG
RNAcentral lists this ribosomal RNA (468 nucleotides) under uncultured bacterium. RNAcentral's name for it is "partial 16S ribosomal RNA". It matches the Rfam family "Bacterial small subunit ribosomal RNA", at positions 28 to 507 of the family's 1533-position model. The record is from RNAcentral.